Molecule: long non-coding RNA, 786 nt
Organism: Mus musculus (house mouse)
Lineage: Eukaryota; Metazoa; Chordata; Mammalia; Rodentia; Muridae
Product: predicted gene, 46204
Exons: 2
Source: RefSeq, a predicted model, not a curated record
GGGGACCGGGAGAGACACCAUAGAGACACAAGGUGGGGGCGAGGAAGGCAGAGAAAGCCGCUAGGAUCUCUCCCACAGAACUGCGAUAGGAGUUAAUUACUGGGAAUGAUUGAUGUGACAUCAUUGCCAGCGCAGAGACCGCUGCCAGAAAGCUUGGCAUGGCCCCCUCGCCUGACAGCCAAAAAACACAGGUGUCUUAAAGAAAAAGUGCGGCAGAGAGAGCUGAGUGAGCAGGAAACCAUUUGCCCGGAAGCCCAGCCCAGCCAUUCAGAGCUGACUGCCGCUUACACGUCCUCUGCGUUGCCAGUGUCUCAAGAGUCCCCGGCUGUCCUUGAACUCCCGCGGCACCAAGAGAGAUCAUGAACUCCUGAUCCUAUUUAUCCACACACACACUCCACCCCCACCCACCCGCACACCCCGGUGCUAGGAUUGCUGGCUUGAGCCACCAUAUCUAUCUCCUCCAAUGUUGGGCGUGGAACCCGAGGGCUUCUUGUGCGCUCCGCAGGCACUCGGCUAGCCAAGCUGCCUCCCAGCUGCACACCGUUGUUUUAGGGACAUCUCCAGGGACACUUCCUUCCAUUGUGGAUGAAAUCCAGAAGGCCAGCGUUCCAAUUCUGUCUACUUCACAGCCACCUUGCUUUUCCAUUCCCGUGCAGGCUUCCUAGUGAUGCUAUUCAACUUGAUCCUCUUACUCGUUUGGUAAAUAGUAAGGGACCCCUCCUAGUGUCCCCCUAAGCUGUGAUUAACCUCCAGAGGGGACACACGGGUAUAAACUAUUCUGCAGUU